GUAUCCGUAAAUGGAUAAAACGGGACUGUCAUAUCCUGCCAAGACAGGGAAUUACCCCAAACUGAAUUUAAGAAUGUCUCCUUGCCAAGGAAUUCCUGAAGAGGAGAGACUGAGGCAAGCAUUUGCAACCCUUGCAACUUAAGCUGCAUCAUCAUCUCUAAGAUCAGUUUCCUGUCUACUUUUUGAAGUCACUGAUGGAUAAUUGAAUGUCUCUAUGAU
This is a non-coding RNA of Myodes glareolus (Bank vole), 219 nucleotides long. NCBI's taxonomy places the organism in Eukaryota, Metazoa, Chordata, Mammalia, Rodentia, Cricetidae. The record is from RefSeq and is a predicted model, not a curated record.